AAAUCUAUUACCACAAUUAAGUUCCUUUUGUGUCCAUUUACUUUCUUGCUUGAAACUCUAUCCAUUUGUUUCAUUUCAUUCAUUCAUCUCUUGUUUCACACCUCUCAAAAUCUCUACUAAAUUUUCAAACACAAUUUAAGAUAAUGAAUGAAUUCAUAUAACACAACAAUGACAGCACCCAUUCUCCAAUUAACUUCAUUUUCUCCCACAAAACCCAACACACAAACAACAACACUUGUUCCAUUACCUCAUAUCCUUUCUCUCAUACCCAAAUGCACUACUCUCACAGACCUAAAGCAAAUUCAAGCUUAUGCCAUCAAAACCAAUCUCCAAUACAACACCAAUGUUAACACAAAGUUCAUAAAUUUCUGCACUUCAAACCCAACAAAAGCUUCUAUGGACCAUGCACACAACCUGUUCGAUCAAAUUACUCAACCAAAUAUUGUUCUUUUUAACACCAUGGCACGUGGGUAUGCUCGCUCUAACGACCCUCUUAGAGCGAUUAUUUUGUUUUGUCGCGUGCUGUGGUCUGACCUUGUUCCCGAUGAUUACACAUUUUCUUCACUUCUUAAAGCUUGUUCAAAGGUUAAGGCUUUGGAGGAAGGGAAACAGCUUCAUUGCUUUGCUUUGAAACUUGGGGUUAGUGAUAACAUUUAUGUUGUUCCGACACUUAUUAAUAUGUAUACUUCUUGUGGAGAAAUUGAUGAUGCUAGAAGGGUUUUUGAUAAGAUUGAUGAACCUUGUGUUGUUGCAUAUAAUGCGAUUAUUACGAGUUUGGCUAGGAAUAAUCAACCUAAUGAGGCGUUGGCUUUGUUUAGAGAGUUGCAGGAGAGUGGUCUUAAGCCAACUGAUGUUACCAUGCUUGUUGCACUUUCGUCCUGCGCUAUGCUUGGAUCGUUGGAUUUGGGGAGGUGGAUACACGAGUAUGUUAAGAAGUACGGGUUUGAUCGAUAUGUGAAGGUAAAUACAGCUCUUAUAGAUAUGUAUGCUAAAUGUGGAAGUUUGGAUGAUGCUGUUAAUGUGUUUAGGGGUAUGCCUAAGAGAGAUACACAGACGUGGUCGACAAUUAUCAUUGCUUAUGCAACACAUGGGGAUGGUUUCCAGGCCAUAUCGAUGUUGAAAGAAAUGAAGAAGGAAAAAGUGCAGCCUGAUGAGAUAACUUUUUUAGGUAUAUUGUAUGCAUGCAGUCACAAUGGAUUGGUAGAAGAAGGUUUUGAGUAUUUUCAUAGUAUGACCAAUGAGUAUGGGAUUGUUCCUAGUAUCAAGCAUUAUGGGUGUAUGGUGGAUUUGCUUGGUCGAGCUGGAAGGUUGGACGAAGCCUAUAAAUUCAUAGAUGAAUUACCAAUCAAGCCGACACCGAUUCUGUGGCGGACAUUGCUAUCUGCUUGUAGUAGUCAUGGGAAUGUUGAAAUGGGAAAGCAAGUAAUGGAAAGAAUCUCUGAAUUGGAUGAUUCCCAUGGUGGAGAUUAUGUUAUUUUGUCGAACUUGUGUGCAAGAUAUGGAAAAUGGGAUGAUGUGAAUCACUUAAGGAAAAUUAUGAUAGACAAAGGAGCUGUAAAAAUUCCUGGUUGUAGCUCUAUAGAGGUCAACAAUGUUGUGCAUGAGUUCUUUGCGGGGGAUGGAAUUCAUUCCAUUUCUACCACAUUGCACCGUGCACUUGAUGAGUUGAUAAAGGAAUUGAAGUUGGCUGGGUAUGUAGCUGACACAUCACUAGUCUUUCAUCCAGACAUGGAAGAUGAAGACAAAGAAAUUAUCCUUCGAUAUCACAGUGAGAAAAUUGCCAUUACUUUUGGACUUCUGAAUACGCCCCCCGGAACAACAAUUCGUGUCGUCAAGAACCUUAGAGUCUGUGGUGAUUGCCAUAAUGCUGCUAAAUUUAUAUCAUUGGUUUUUGGUAGGCAAAUUAUUCUCAGAGAUGUUCAGAGGUUUCACCAUUUCAAAGAUGGGAAAUGCUCUUGUGGUGAUUACUGGUAAAGUGGUAGUAGAGUGCUGAGUCAAGAAUCAAUCUUACAACAUCUGUUGCCACAGGAUUAAGUGCUACUAGUUUUGUUUGGAAGGAUCAGCCAGUAAACCACUGUAUGCAGCCUAGAAGAAGAAAGGUGACUAUUUUUACAUGACCAAGAUAAUCUACUUGGUUAGAUGGAGAGAAAUUGUUACAGGAGGUCAGACAAGAUAGUGAAUUGCAGAAAAUUGUGGAAGAACUCAAAGUAAAUCCUGAAAGUAAAGUGGGGUUCACAGUGAACCAAGAUAUUUUAUUUUACAAGGGUCGUUUAGUGCUAUCUCCUAAUUCACCUACUAUCCCAUUGUUGCUGAAAGAAUUUCAUGAAACACCUAUGGGAGGACAUUCAGGAUUUCUUAGAACUUAUAGAAGAUUAGCAGCAAAUCUGUACUGGCCUGGUAUGCAGAAGAGAAUAAGAGAUUUUGUUAGGGCUUGUGACACUUGUCAGAGGCAGAAGUAUGCAGCUACUGUGCCUGGGGGUUUUCUCCAACCCUUAUCUAUUCUAAAUGCCAUCUGGGAAGACCUUUCCUUGGAUUUUAUUACUGGUUUGCCAAGGUCUAAAGGAUUUGAAGCUGUACUGGUGGUGGACAGAUUGUCCAAGUACAGUCAUUUCUUACUGCUCAAGCAUCCCUAUACUGCUAAGUGUAGCAGAACUGUUUGUUAAGGAGAUUGUGAGGUUGCAUGGUGUGCCUAUUUCCAUCAUUAGUGACAGAGAUCCAUUGUUUGUAAGUCAUUUCUGGAUGGAGUUAUUCAAGCUGCAAGGUACUCAACUGAACGUGAGUUCAGCUUACGAUCUAGAGACGGAUGGCCAAACUGAGGUUACUAACAGGUGCUUAGAGAGUUAUUUACGUUGUUUUGCUUCUGAACAACCCAAAACAUGGUCUCACUGGAUCCCAUGGGCAGAGUUCUGGUACAACUCUACCUUCCAUGUUUCCAUUGGCAAAACACCUUUUGAGGUGGUGUAUGGUAGACAACCACCAAACAUAAUUCGUUUUCUAAGCAAUGAAAAGAAAGUUGCUGCAGUGGCUACGGAGUUAAGUGAAAGAGAUGAAGCCUUAACUCAAUUGAAGGCUCAUUCGUUGAGGGCUCAACAAUAAAUGAAGAAGUAUGCUGAUAAGAAGAGAAGAGAGGUACAAUUUUAAAUUAAUGAUUGGGUUUUUCUCAAAUUAUUACGCCCUCAUAGGCAACAAUCUGUGGCAAAACGCAUUAAUCCUAAAUUAGCUGCAUGGUUUUAUGGCCCUUUCAAGAUCAUAGAAAAACUGGGUGAAGUGGCCUACAAGUUACAGCUCCCUGCUCAUUUACGAAUCCAUCCAGUAUUCCAUGUUUCGUUAUUAAAAAAGGCCAUUGAUGACUAUGCUGUGCAGGGUGAUUUGCCAAAGGAGCUAGAGAUUCAACCUGUAGAGGAUUUCUAUCCAGAGAAGGUUGUUCGAUCUAGAAUCAUUAAUCAAGGUGGGGUGAGCACUCCUCUAAGUCUCAUACAAUGGAAGAAUAAAUCUAUUGAAGAUGCGACUUGGGAAGACAGUGUGUUUAUUAGGGGACAGUUUCCUGAAUUUAAUCUUGAGGACAAGAUUUUUACUAAGGAGGGUGGAAUUGAUAGAAACUUGACUGAAGAAGUGGGCCUUGAUGUGAAUUAUGAUAAGCCCAAAAUAUGGAGGUUCUACAAGAGAAAACGUAUGGAAGGUGCUGAGCUGGUACAUGCACGAGGCAUGAGGAAUAUCAAGUUAGUUAGUAUAUAUGAUGUAACAGGGGUGUGAGAGAAUCAUCCUUGAUUUCUGUUUUAAGAAAGAGAAAGUAGAUCACCAUUGUGGUGAGGGAAGCCGUUAGUGCUUUUGGGGUUGGUAGCUAUCGCUAUCAAUAUAUUCCAUUUCUCUAUUUCCUUUGUACUUGUUUCCAGUAAUCAAUAUAAUACCAUUUUCCUUUCCAA
Trifolium pratense (red clover) is the source of this 3923-nucleotide RNA transcript. It is a transcript of the gene named pentatricopeptide repeat-containing protein At2g02980, chloroplastic, with no coding region annotated. The record is from RefSeq and is a predicted model, not a curated record. NCBI's taxonomy places the organism in Eukaryota, Viridiplantae, Streptophyta, Magnoliopsida, Fabales, Fabaceae. The transcript is spliced from 2 exons.